UUGACCUCGGAUCAGGUAGGGAUACCCGCUGAACUUAAGCAUAUCAAUAAGCGGAGGAAAAGAAACCAACAGGGAUUGCCUCAGUAACGGCGAGUGAAGCGGCAACAGCUCAAAUUUGAAAGCUAGCCUUCGGGUUCGCAUUGUAAUUUGUAGAGGAUGCUUUGGGUAAAACGCCAGUCUAAGUUCCUUGGAACAGGACGUCAUAGAGGGUGAGAAUCCCGUAUGUGACUGGAAAUGU
This 238-nucleotide ribosomal RNA is filed under the name Aureobasidium sp. KUC1427. Its description in RNAcentral is "partial 28S ribosomal RNA". It matches the Rfam family "Eukaryotic large subunit ribosomal RNA", at positions 1 to 238 of the family's 3401-position model. The record is from RNAcentral. Lineage: Eukaryota; Fungi; Ascomycota; Dothideomycetes; Dothideales; Saccotheciaceae.